GAUGAACGCUGGCGGCGUGCCUAAUACAUGCAAGUCGAGCGAACAGACGAGGAGCUUGCUCCUCUGACGUUAGCGGCGGACGGGUGAGUAACACGUGGAUAACCUACCUAUAAGACUGGGAUAACUUCGGGAAACCGGAGCUAAUACCGGAUAAUAUAUUGAACCGCAUGGUUCAAUAGUGAAAGACGGCUUUGCUGGCACGUAUAGAUGGUUCCGCGCUGGAUUAGCUAGUUGGUAAGGUAACGGCUUACCAAGGCAACGAUGCGUAGCCGACCUGAGAGGGUGAUAGGCCACCCUGGAACUGAGCCACGGUCCAUGCUCCUACGGGAGGCAGCAGUGGGGAAUCUUCGGCAAUGGGCGAAAGCAUGACGGAGUAACGCCGCGUGAGUGAUGACGGCCUUCGGAUCGUAAAGCUCUGUUAUUGGGGAAGAACAAAUGUGUAAGUAAAUAUGCCCGUCUUGACGGUACCUAAUCAGAAAGCCACGGCUAACUACGUG
Molecule: ribosomal RNA, 497 nt
Filed under: uncultured bacterium
Lineage: Bacteria
Description: partial 16S ribosomal RNA
Rfam family: Bacterial small subunit ribosomal RNA
Source: RNAcentral